AGACUUGAGUAUGUUUGAGGUAGGCGGGAUGCGUGGUGUAGCGGUGAAAUGCAUAGAUAUCACGCAGAACUCCGAUUGCGAAGGCAGCUUGCCAAGCCAUAACUGACACUGAAGCACGAAAGCGUGGGUAUCAAACAGGAUUAGAUACCCUGGUAGUCCACGCAGUAAACGAUGAUUACUAGGAGUUUGCGAUAAAAUGUAAGCUCUACAGCGAAAGCGUUAAGUAAUCCACCUGGGGAGUACGCCGGCAACGGUGAAACUCAAAGGAAUUGACGGGGGCCCGCACAAGCGGAGGAACAUGUGGUUUAAUUCGAUGAUACGCGAGGAACCUUACCCGGGUUUGAACGCAGUCCGACCGCCGAUGAAAGUCGGCUUCUAGCAAUAGCGGAUUGCGAGGUGCUGCAUGGUUGUCGUCAGCUCGUGCCGUGAGGUGUCGGCUUAAGUGCCAUAACGAGCGCAACCCUUGCCGUUAGUUACUAACAAGUUAUGUUGAGGACUCUAGCGGGACUGCCAGCGUAAGCUGUGAGGAAGGCGGGGAUGACGUCAAAUCAGCACGGCCCUUACAUCCGGGGCGACACACGUGUUACAAUGGCGUGGACAAAGAGCAGCCACUUGGCGACAAGGAGCUAAUCUCCAAACCACGUCUCAGUUCGGAUCGGAGUCUGCAACUCGACUCCGUGAAGCUGGAUUCGCUAGUAAUCGCGCAUCAGCCAUGGCGCGGUGAAUACGUUCCCGGGCCUUGUACACACCGCCCGUCAAGCCAUGGGAGCCGGNNNUACCUGAAGUCCGUAACCGUGAGGAUCGGCCUAGGGUAAAACUGGUGACUGGGGCUAAGUCGUAACAAGGUAACCA
RNAcentral lists this ribosomal RNA (852 nucleotides) under uncultured bacterium. Its description in RNAcentral is "bacterial SSU rRNA". It matches the Rfam family "Bacterial small subunit ribosomal RNA", at positions 638 to 1502 of the family's 1533-position model. The record is from RNAcentral.